RNAcentral lists this transfer RNA (64 nucleotides) under Euglandina singleyana. RNAcentral describes it as "tRNA-Gln". Lineage: Eukaryota; Metazoa; Mollusca; Gastropoda; Stylommatophora; Spiraxidae. The record is from RNAcentral.
UCUUUUGUGGUGUUAAGCACGGAAAGUUUUGGGCUUUCAGGAAUAGAUUUUUCUAUAAAAAGAA